UCCGGUUUGGCACCGGCAGUCCCCCCAGAGUCCUCAGCAUGACCUGCUAGCAACUGGGGGCGGGGGUUGCGCUCGUUGCGGGACUUAACCCAACAUCUCACGACACGAGCUGACGACAGCCAUGCAGCACCUGUGCGAAAGCUCCGAAGAGGGGCCUCGGUCUCUCGAGACUUUCCCUCGCAUGUCAAGCCCGGGUAAGGUUCUUCGCGUUGCGUCGAAUUAAACCACAUGCUCCACCGCUUGUGCGGGCCCCCGUCAAUUCCUUUGAGUUUCAGCCUUGCGGCCGUACUCCCCAGGCGGGGCACUUAAUGCGUUAGCGCCGGCACCCGGAGGGUCGCUCCCCCGGGCACCUAGUGCCCAUCGUUUACGGCGUGGACUAC
RNAcentral lists this unclassified non-coding RNA (380 nucleotides) under uncultured Gemmatimonadaceae bacterium. RNAcentral's name for it is "contains 16S-23S intergenic spacer region". Lineage: Bacteria; Pseudomonadati; Gemmatimonadota; Gemmatimonadia; Gemmatimonadales; Gemmatimonadaceae. The record is from RNAcentral.